RNAcentral lists this ribosomal RNA (225 nucleotides) under uncultured bacterium. RNAcentral's name for it is "partial 16S ribosomal RNA". It matches the Rfam family "Bacterial small subunit ribosomal RNA", at positions 122 to 334 of the family's 1533-position model. The record is from RNAcentral.
UAAUCUACCCUGAUGUCUGGGAUAACCAGCCGAAAGGCUGACUAAUACCGGCUAUAUGCUACCCUGUUGGGGGUAUCAGGAAAGGUGGCCUCUUCUUGAAAGCUAUCGCAUUGGGAUGAGUUUGCGUACCAUUAGCUAGUUGGUGGGGUAAUGGCCCACCAAGGCUUCGAUGGUUAGCGGGUCUGAGAGGAUGAUCCGUCACACUGGCACUGGAACACGGGCCAG